Molecule: ribosomal RNA, 273 nt
Filed under: uncultured Tulasnellaceae
Lineage: Eukaryota; Fungi; Basidiomycota; Agaricomycetes; Cantharellales; Tulasnellaceae
Description: partial large subunit ribosomal RNA
Rfam family: Bacterial large subunit ribosomal RNA
Source: RNAcentral
GUGGUGUCACAGAAUCGGAGGCCCCGACUGUUUACUUAAAACACAGACAUCUGCAACGAUUAAUUUCUUUGUAUAGGUGUUGAAUUUUGCCCGAUGCCAUUAAUAUAAGGUCGAUAAGCGCGUGCGUAUUUAUUGAUUGAAAAUCUGGUCAAUGGCGGUCUUAACUAUGAGGAUCCUAAGGUAGCAAAAUUAAUUGUCCAUUAAAUGUGGUCCUGACUGAAUAAAGUAACGAUGGUCUCGCUGUCUCUACAAGUAUCUCAGUGAAAUUGAAUU